GAUGAACGCUGGCGGCGUGCCUAAUACAUGCAAGUCGAGCGAACAGACGAGGAGCUUGCUCCUCUGACGUUAGCGGCGGACGGGUGAGUAACACGUGGAUAACCUACCUAUAAGACUGGGAUAACUUCGGGACACCGGAUCUAAUACCGGAUAACAUGUUGACCCGCAUGGUUUACCAGUGAAAGACGGUCUUGCUGUCACUUAUAGAUGGAUCCGGGCCGAAUUAGCUAGUUGGUAAGGUAACGGCUUACCAAGGCAACGCUGCGUCGCCGCCCUGGGAGGGGGAUCGGCCACCCUGGAACGGAGACGCGGUCCAGACUCCUACGGGAGGCAGAAGUGGGGAUUCUUGGGCAAUGGGGGAAAGCCUGACGGAGCAACGCGGCGUGAGUGAAGAAGGUCUUCGGAUCGUAAAACUCUGUUAUUAGGGAAGAAGAAAUGUGUAAGUAACUAUGCACGUCGUGACGGUACCUAAUCAGAAAGCGACGGCUAACUACGUG
Molecule: ribosomal RNA, 497 nt
Filed under: uncultured bacterium
Lineage: Bacteria
Description: partial 16S ribosomal RNA
Rfam family: Bacterial small subunit ribosomal RNA
Source: RNAcentral